GCCUUUCUCGGCUCUUCUCUCCCUCUUUAAAUUUUAUAAUAAUAAUAGAACCCUACCCCAUUUUAAGUGUCUUAACCCUUGAUCACUGAUACCCUGUCCGACUGACGUAGGGCCCCGUAACGUAUGUCAAGGCUCUGCCUAAAUUCGUUGGGGUUCUGUCUCGUGACGUAGGGAUAAAGUAGAAUUGGGUUACUAUACUUAAUGUGGGUACACUAUAUAUUUUAUUAAAUAAUCCAGGAGUUGUACCCAAAAUAUAACAAACCUCCCGAAUAUUUUUCUGAUACCCUACACUUCCUAAAAUACACCCUGUAUGUGAAAACCGAGCCCGAAAUACAAAAUAGCAUUGAAAAUAAAUACAAAACAAGAAAUAAUAAGUUGAGGCGGGCCGCGUAGGACCUCACCUCAACUUAACGCGGGCCGUGUGAGGGUGUAACUUAACUCCGCUGAAUUCUUUAGUUCACGCGGGCCGCGUAUGAUCCCGUUUAAGUUCAUGCGGGCCGCGCGGACUCAUGAAACGCGGAUAUAUCCAGAGGUUGACACGUGUCAUGAUCGUGGCGGUCUAGUGAACGACUCAGCUAAGCUACCCUGUUGACCAGGGUUGACGCGGGCCGCGUAGGCCCUGCCCUAAUAUUACGCGGGCCGCGAGAGAACCAGAUCCAGCCCCUAUAAAUAGAAGCAAUCGGCUGUUCAUUCAGUUCGUUCAGAAUUUAUUUCUUUCUCUCAAUUCUAAAGUGUAGGCAUUAUACGCGGGUAUAAUACCCCCCUAAUUAGCGAAGCUCUGCCUCGUUGUAAGUAUCAUAACCCCUGGAUACGUAUUAGGUACUCUGCCCGAUUGAUCUAGGGUUCCGUAACGGCUGUCGUGGUUCUGCCCGACGUAGUCGUUGGAAUGCCGUCUCGGGGAGGGUAUUACUAAUGUUAAAAUGGGUUAUUAUACUAACGCGUGUGCAUUGUUUAUUUACUUAGACUAUAACCAGGGAAUCACAAAGGAAAGCCCUAUAAUAGCAAGGUGAGUAAUCUCCUUUUUCUUAACUGUUUUUACAAAACCUUAAAUACCUUUCCAUGCAAAUGACAGUUAUUGAGUAUUUGUAAAGAAUACAAUUAUAGUGGGUAUGUUGGGGUUUUGUAUACAAAAUUGGUUACUGGCGUGGUAACAUCCCAUAAGUUGAGUAUGACCGUACCACUGAUGUUAAUUGUGAUGUCUUGGAUACAAAUGUAACUUAGUGUGAAGCCAAUAAAAGCCAGCUGGAGAGCACUGAAGGCUUGGAAAAGUGGCUAUAAAGUUACCUAAAAUAAAAUAGAUGUUUUUAUUAAUAAAAAUAGGAUUUAUUCCUAUGAAAGUGUGUAUACUGAAAACUUGGGUUUUACCCACGUGUUUAAUAUUAUGAAAAUAUGGUGGUUUUACU
RNAcentral lists this long non-coding RNA (1403 nucleotides) under Helianthus annuus (common sunflower). RNAcentral's name for it is "hypothetical non coding rna". The record is from RNAcentral. Lineage: Eukaryota; Viridiplantae; Streptophyta; Magnoliopsida; Asterales; Asteraceae.